RNAcentral lists this ribosomal RNA (216 nucleotides) under Triticum aestivum (bread wheat). RNAcentral's name for it is "partial small subunit ribosomal RNA". Lineage: Eukaryota; Viridiplantae; Streptophyta; Magnoliopsida; Poales; Poaceae. The record is from RNAcentral.
AUGAAUGUGUUAAGCUGGAACUGCCGGGGAGGGAAUACCCGUACAGUUCGUGAGUUAGCAAAUUUCUCACAGUCGCAUUCCCCCAUAAUGGUAUUCUUGUGUGAGACCAGGCAAAAAGCUGAAAAGAUGAGGAGGAUUCGUGGCCUCCUUGGCUUGAAGGGGUUCACAGGUGUGGAUAGCAAUGGGAUGAGUGGUGGAUUGGCACGAGUCAUAUGA